RNAcentral lists this ribosomal RNA (217 nucleotides) under uncultured bacterium. Its description in RNAcentral is "partial 16S ribosomal RNA". It matches the Rfam family "Bacterial small subunit ribosomal RNA", at positions 524 to 741 of the family's 1533-position model. The record is from RNAcentral.
UACGUAGGGUGCAAGCGUUGUCCGGAAUUAUUGGGCGUAAAGAGCUCGUAGGCGGUUUGUCGCGUCUGCUGUGAAAACCCGAGGCUCAACCUCGGGCCUGCAGUGGGUACGGGCAGACUAGAGUGCGGUAGGGGAGAUUGGAAUUCCUGGUGUAGCGGUGGAAUGCGCAGAUAUCAGGAGGAACACCAAUGGCGAAGGCAGACUCUGGGCCGUAACU